CAAUUCCCUCAAGUUAAAUAUUAAGUUUAAGCUUUCCAAGUUUUAGCACUCAUCAAGACUAGUAUCAGAUAAUGUAGGUUUCGCCUACGCGAGGUGCAUGUUCUAUAUUAGUAAGGUGCGAUGGGAUGAUUGUAAUAUCCAACUGCUAAAACAAUGGGUCAAACUUAACUAAACAAAUUAUAAUAAGAUUAUAUGUGUUUAGAAGCAAGAGUUGGAAAUGAUCCAUAUGAUGGAUUGGAAAAAG
Molecule: long non-coding RNA, 244 nt
Filed under: Lathyrus oleraceus (garden pea)
Lineage: Eukaryota; Viridiplantae; Streptophyta; Magnoliopsida; Fabales; Fabaceae
Description: Pisum sativum (pea) long non-coding RNA (PSAT_LNC029965)
Source: RNAcentral